AGCAGCCGCGGUAAUUCCAGCUCCAAUAGCGUAUAUUAAAGUUGUUGCAGUUAAAAAGCUCGUAGUUGAACUUCGGGGUUUACCCAUUGGUCAGGCUUAAUUGUCUGUACUGGUGAGAUAAAUCUCUACCUUCUGAGGAACUUUCAUGUCAUUAAUGUGGUGUGAUUGGAAAUCAGGACUGUUACUUUGAAAAAUUAGAGUGUUUAAAGCAGGCUAACGUCUGAAUACAUUAGCAUGGAAUAAUGAAAUAGGACGGACUGAUUCUAUUUCGUUGGUUUCUAGGAUCACCGUAAUGAUUAAUAGGGAUAGUUGGGGGCAUUAGUAUUCAAUUGUCAGAGGUGAAAUUCUUGGAUUUAUUGAAGACUAACUACUGCGAAAGCAUUUGCCAAGGAUGUUUUCAUUAAUCAAGAACGAAAGUUAGGGGAUCGAAGACGAUCAGAUACCGUCGUAGUCUUAACCAUAAACUAUGCCGACUAGGGAUCGGACGAAGUUAAUUUAUAAUGACGCGUUCGGCACCUUA
Molecule: ribosomal RNA, 520 nt
Filed under: uncultured Glomeromycotina
Lineage: Eukaryota; Fungi; Glomeromycota
Description: SSU rRNA
Rfam family: Eukaryotic small subunit ribosomal RNA
Source: RNAcentral